Molecule: ribosomal RNA, 229 nt
Filed under: uncultured Staphylococcus sp.
Lineage: Bacteria; Bacillati; Bacillota; Bacilli; Caryophanales; Staphylococcaceae
Description: partial 16S ribosomal RNA
Rfam family: Bacterial small subunit ribosomal RNA
Source: RNAcentral
UAACACGUGGAUAACCUACCUAUAAGACUGGGAUAACUUCGGGAAACCGUAGCUAAUACCGGAUAAUAUUUUGAACCGCAUGGUUCAAAAGUGAAAGACGGUCUUGCUGUCACUUAUAGAUGGAUCCGCGCUGCAUUAGCUAGUUGGUAAGGUAACGGCUUACCAAGGCAACGAUGCAUAGCCGACCUGAGAGGGUGAUCGGCCACACUGGAACUGAGACACGGUCCAG